CGACAGGGAUUCUACGAAAAUUUUCCUCACCACAACUUCAGCUGACAGAACAACAUCGACGCAAACACAGAAGAUACAUCGCAGAUAACCUGGGCAAAUGAACCUGGACAUCGGGCAGGACAUUUCAUCGACACCCGGAGUCUAUACGACCUUCUUCCAAUGACAGAUGGAUUCUACGAACAUUUUUAUCACGUGAGUUAUGCCUGACAAUCAUACAGAAUGUUCAUCACUUAAUUAUGUACAAUUACUUAUUAGUCAGCCAUCAUCAGCACAGUUACAGAGACGUACGCACCUUCAGCACAACUUCAACGGACGGGACAACAUCGACGCAAACACAGAACAUACAUUUCAUCGACACAUAUGGAGUCUACGACCUUCUUCCAACGACAGAGGGAUUCUACGAACAUUUUCAUCACGUGAGUUAUCAUCAUCUGACAUCAUCAGCACAGUUGGAAAAACAUCGAUCACAGAUUACCUAGCUGGGACGAAUCAACGGAACAACAGACGAAGGACACAGCAACCGAGUGGCGGACAAGCAGCGGACAAGUGGCAAGCAUCGAGGGAUCAACAUAAUCGUGUUGUUUUGUGUGUUUUUCAUGUCCCCCAAAAUCUGGAUCACCAAGUUGCCGUCGUGUGGGGGCUUGCGUACUCCUAUGAUCAUAAGUGCGAGGUCAGCAAUGGUAUAACCAUGCUAAACCAGCCAAGGAAGAGGAGUCAGACUAAGAGUGAUCCAAACCCGGCACCCGGGGUUUUUCAGGGUUUAGUAAUUGAUAUUUGGAGCAGUUUAUUUUACGAUCAUUUGACGCUUGUUGUCAAGUUUUUAUUGUAUUAUUGUGGUCAGUUAGGAGAACUUAUAUAGGCUGUGUAGGCCAUAGGUUUUAUGUCAUGGUGAUCAAAGAGAAUAAUUUUGUACAUUGUAUUUCGCGGUCGU
Molecule: long non-coding RNA, 931 nt
Organism: Priapulus caudatus
Lineage: Eukaryota; Metazoa; Priapulida; Priapulimorpha; Priapulimorphida; Priapulidae
Exons: 3
Source: RefSeq, a predicted model, not a curated record